AACGAACGCUGGCGGCAUGCCUAACACAUGCAAGUCGAACGAGAUCUUCGGGUCUAGUGGCGCACGGGUGCGUAACGCGUGGGAAUCUGCCCUUUGGUUCGGAAUAACAGUUGGAAACGACUGCUAAUACCGGAUGAUGACGAAAGUCCAAAGAUUUAUCGACAGAGGAUGAGCCCGCGUAGGAUUAGCUAGUUGGUGUGGUAAAGGCGCACCAAGGCGACGAUCCUUAGCUGGUCUGAGAGGAUGAUCAGCCACAAUGGGACUGAGACACGGCCCAUACUCCUACGGGAGGCAGCAGUGGGGAAUAUUGGACAAUGGGCGAAAGCCUGAUCCAGCAAUGCCGCGUGAGUGAUGAAGGCCUUAGGGUUGUAAAGCUCUUUUACCCGGGAUGAUAAUGACAGUACCGGGAGAAUAAGCUCCGGCUAACUCCGUGCCAGCCGCCGCUGUAA
This 449-nucleotide ribosomal RNA is filed under the name uncultured bacterium. Its description in RNAcentral is "partial 16S ribosomal RNA". It matches the Rfam family "Bacterial small subunit ribosomal RNA", at positions 29 to 523 of the family's 1533-position model. The record is from RNAcentral.